GAGGAAUAUUGGUCAAUGGGCGAGAGCCUGAACCAGCCAAGUAGCGUGCAGGAUGACGGCCCUAUGGGUUGUACACUGCUUUUAUAAGGGAAUAAAGUGAGUCUCGUGAGACUUUUUGCAUGUACCUUAUGAAUAAGGACCGGCUAAUUCCGUGCCAGCAGCCGCGGUAAUACGGCAGGUCCGGGCGUUAUCCGGAUUUAUUGGGUUUAAAGGGAGCGUAGGCCGGAGAUUAAGCGUGUUGUGAAAUGUAGACGCUCAACGUCUGCACUGCAGCGCGAACUGGUUUCCUUGAGUACGCACAAAGUGGGCGGAAUUCGUGGUGUAGCGGUGAAAUGCUUAGAUAUCACGAAGAACUCCGAUUGCGAAGGCAGCUCACUGGAGCGCAACUGACGCUGAAGCUCGAAAGUGCGGGUAUCGAAC
Molecule: ribosomal RNA, 420 nt
Filed under: uncultured bacterium
Lineage: Bacteria
Description: bacterial SSU rRNA
Rfam family: Bacterial small subunit ribosomal RNA
Source: RNAcentral